Long non-coding RNA from Chelonia mydas (Green sea turtle), 834 nucleotides. RefSeq lists it as uncharacterized. The transcript has 3 exons. NCBI's taxonomy places the organism in Eukaryota, Metazoa, Chordata, Testudines, Cheloniidae. The record is from RefSeq and is a predicted model, not a curated record.
GAUCAGCAGGUGGGAGCUGUCUGAGAGGAGACAAGGACCCGGGACCGGGACCUGCUUGGGAGAAAGUCACCGGCGUUGGCCCAGAACUGCUGCCGCGAGAGUCCGGGGGAAGCGGGGAGCGAAGACCGCCUGGCCAGUUGGGUCCUUCAAUGCUCCCUCCAGCUGUGCUCACUGGCCUCCCAGGGCUGAAGUCUCUGCUUCCCCAGUCACAGCCAGAGCUGGGCAAGCUGCCGGGGCCCCUGAUGGGCAUCGUCCCGUUUCUGGCCUGCCAGAGGUCCGCGAGGAGACGUGGCUCUUCCUGCAUUGUCCCCUAGUCCCUGAGGCUGUCCAGCCCCUCUCCGGCCAGGGGCGUAGACCCCGCCUCUGUCCCCCUUCUGGGCUCGACGGCCGGAUUCUGCUCUCACCGCUACUUCACUGGCUUCAAAGCAGCAAGUUCUGAACUGGACCAGCACGAAAGGAGCGGCAGGCCCCGGGGCCUGGAUGUGACUCCGCUUCUUGAAUACGUUGUGUCGCGUGUGCCAUUCAUUUCUCCAAGUCCGAUGGGUUGGGCGCCCCCACCGUGAGCCCCGGACACCCAGCUGAGCGUUGGUCCACACGGCAAAGUUGGUUCGGCUUCACUACAUCGCUCAGGGCUGUGAAAAAUGUCGCACCCUGGAGUUGUAAUUAAAAUGACCUAAGCCCCAGUGUAGACACCUAGGUAAAUGGGAGAAUCCUUCCCUCGGCCUAGCUACGCCUCUCGGGGCUCGUCCACACUUGAAACACGAGGUGGCUUAACUGUGCAGCUGUAGCUCUUUGGUGUAGACGCUACCCACAGUGACAGGAAGGGUUCUCCGA